This 382-nucleotide unclassified non-coding RNA is filed under the name uncultured bacterium. RNAcentral's name for it is "contains 16S-23S intergenic spacer region". The record is from RNAcentral.
UCCUGGUUUCCCAGGCAGUCCCAUCAGAGUGCUCCACUAGGGUAGCAACUGAUAGCAGGGGUUGCGCUCGUUAGAGGACUUAACCCAACAUCUCACGACACGAGCUGACGACAGCCAUGCAGCACCUGUGUAUCUGCUUAGAUCGAAACCUAAGAGAUUGUGUUUCUACAACUGUCAAAUACAUGUCAAGUCCAGGUAAGGUUCCUCGCGUAGUGACGAAUUAAACCACAUGUUCCACCGCUUGUGCGGACCCCCGUCAAUUUCUUUGAGUUUUAAUCUUGCGACCGUACUCCCCAGGCGAAUCACUUAACGCGUUAGCUUCGAUACUAAUCCGGCUAAGCCAGACUAACAUCUAGUGAUUAUCGUUUACAGCGUGGACUAC